GAUGAACGCUAGCUACAGGCUUAACACAUGCAAGUCGAGGGGAAACGCCAUCGAAAGCUUGCUUUUGAUGGGCGUCGACCGGCGCACGGGUGAGUAACGCGUAUCCAACCUGCCCAUCACUUGGGAAUAACCUUGCGAAAGUAAGACUAAUACCCAAUGAUAUCCCACGAAGGCAUCGGAAUGGGAUUAAAGAUUUAUCGGUGAUGGAUGGGGAUGCGUCUGAUUAGCUUGUUGGCGGGGUAACGGCCCACCAAGGCAACGAUCAGUAGGGGUUCUGAGAGGAAGGUCCCCCACAUUGGAACUGAGACACGGUCCAAACUCCUACGGGAGGCAGCAGUGAGGAAGAUUGGUCAAUGGGCGAGAGCCUGAACCAGCCAAGUAGUGUGCAGGAAGACGGCCCUAUGGGUUGUAAACUGCUUUUAUAAGGGAAUAAAGUGGGUCACGUGUGACUUUUUGCAUGUACCUUAUGAAUAAGGACCGGCUAAUUCCGUG
RNAcentral lists this ribosomal RNA (492 nucleotides) under uncultured bacterium. RNAcentral describes it as "partial 16S ribosomal RNA". It matches the Rfam family "Bacterial small subunit ribosomal RNA", at positions 28 to 507 of the family's 1533-position model. The record is from RNAcentral.